CCAUCCACAAAUUUUACUUGAAAUUAUAUCUAUAUAAACCCUAGAAUGACAGUCUAUUCAACUUAAACUGGACUCAUAUCAAGCAUCCUAUAUAGAGUAAGUUAAUAUAUGAAGCAUCCUAUAUCUAAAGCUUCGUUACAUGGUUGGACUGUGUAUAGCUUCCUCAUCCAGAUAAAUUGGGUAUUCUACAUGUAUCAGCCAUCCUAAUAUAUUCUUACUUCUUAGUUUUGAAAUAGUAAAAACAUGCAGCAGCAAAUAGAUAACUCUCACAUCGACUGUGAAUCACAAUAAAUUUGUACUUUUGCUUGAUUUUUCGAUACCAUUCAUUUUAUUAUUGCUCUUGUAAUAAGAAUACGUCGUUUAUCCCUAACGAAACACUGUUGCAAUAAUUUCAUUGUGAUUGAUUUAAUGACAGGAAACCACGAGAAUGGCUAGAAGGGUGAUGCUAGUGUUUGCUGUAAUGCUACUGGUGAUGAGCUCUUGUUUAACGAAAGCCGGGAAGCCACCUGUCAUGGACGAAAAGCAUGAGCUCGAGCAUGAGGAAGAGCAGCAGCAAAUGGUAACGAAGGAAAGUUGUCCUGAAUCUACGCAGGAUAAUUAUCACCAUUGCAUGGGCAUACCAGACUUCAACAGGCAUAACUAAUGACGUUAUUAGUAAAAGGUUCUGAUGAUAAAACUCCAAGAAUAUGUAUAUAUGUAGAUAUAUGGAUAUUUUGGUAAUGAAUAUGUAUAAUAUGAUAUGAUGUUUGAAUAAAACAGUGACUAUGGUUUUCCAAAUUAUAUAAUGGCAUGGGCUUGAAGAA
Molecule: long non-coding RNA, 803 nt
Filed under: Olea europaea (common olive)
Lineage: Eukaryota; Viridiplantae; Streptophyta; Magnoliopsida; Lamiales; Oleaceae
Description: long non-coding RNA (OEUR_LNC008606)
Source: RNAcentral